UACGUAGGGGGCAAGCGUUGUCCGGAUGCAUUGGGCGUAAAGAGCGUGUAGGCGGCCAGGUAGGUCGGUUGUGAAAACUGGAGGCUCAACCUUCAGAGGUCGACCGAAACCAUCUGGCUAGAGUCCGGGAGAGGAGAGUGGAAUUCCUGGUGUAGCGGUGAAAUGCGCAGAUAUCAGGAAGAACACCCGUGGCGAAAGCGGCUCUCUGGAACGGUACUGACGCUGAGACGCGAAAGCGUGGGGAGCGAACAGG
RNAcentral lists this ribosomal RNA (253 nucleotides) under uncultured bacterium. RNAcentral's name for it is "partial 16S ribosomal RNA". It matches the Rfam family "Bacterial small subunit ribosomal RNA", at positions 524 to 776 of the family's 1533-position model. The record is from RNAcentral.